RNAcentral lists this ribosomal RNA (254 nucleotides) under uncultured bacterium. Its description in RNAcentral is "partial 16S ribosomal RNA". It matches the Rfam family "Bacterial small subunit ribosomal RNA", at positions 524 to 776 of the family's 1533-position model. The record is from RNAcentral.
UACGGGGGGGGUAAGCGUUGUUCGGAAUUACUGGGCGUAAAGGGCGCGUAGGCGGCCACGACAAGUCACUUGUGAAAUCUCCGGGCUUAACUCGGAACGGUCAAGUGAUACUGUCGGGCUAGAGUGCAGAAGGGGCAACUGGAAUUCUCGGUGUAGCGGUGAAAUGCGUAGAUAUCUGAAGGAACAUCAGUGGCGAAAGCGACUUCCUGGACCAAUACUGACGCUCAUGUGCGAAAGCGUGGGGAGCAAACAGG